CCCCCGCGCUUUGAGCACCCCCGACCCGGCUAGCCCGACUCGCGUCCGGGCAGCGCACCUCACGGCGAGUCGUAACACGGGCUCCUGCGAGAGGGUGACAGGGGCUAGGCGGCUCCCCAGCGUCCCUCGCCUUCAGAACUCCCCCUACCCUUGGGGGACUUCGCUGCCUCCGGCCGCGCCAUUGUGACGGAACGGGGAGCACUCGGGGCUCAGGGGGCAGCGGGCAUGGCCGCUCGGGGCCGCCGUAGGCGGGCAGGGCUUUCGCUGCUCUUGUGGCCCCCAUUACAAUGAAAACACUAACUCCCACUCCUUCCCCGGGCUCCCGUGGCGCUGUCCCACACAUCAAGUGGGAGCCCCUGCAUUCACUACCCUCCUUUGAGGCCUGAGCAGAUAGGAGAAAGUUUCUCAAGCCUUUGGCAAACUUGUAAGGAAGGGGUAGAGCUAGAGUCAGAGAAGUAGCCGGCGUUUUCCAGGAGAUCCACAAGGCAAUAAGCUUCCCAAGACAGAAUUGGAACCCAGGUCCUGUCGGUUUGGAACCAGCACUCUGGCCUUUCUUAUUACCCCAUUGGCCCUUCUUCUAAGAGGGCCAACCCUUUCUGUACCUGAGCUCCUCUAUGAUGCCAGCCGACAGCUGCUGCUCCCGGAUGCGUCCCACUUCCUGAGGAGGCUGCCCCACCAGUUCAAUGAUGGUCAUGUGGCGAAGGUCCAGCCCACAGAAAAAGUUUGCCAACCUCUGUUAUAGAGGAAGAAGAAAAGGAGGCCCAGGACAAAGCCUCAGGAGACAGCCAUGGUUCGUGGCCAUGUCACAGGCGAAGAUCCCACUAAGGAGACUGAGAAGGAGUAGUUGUACAGAAAUACAAUAUCCACUCUACACAUGAAGUCAUGCGAAACUCAUUUCUGCAUUAGCCAGGCUCCAGGGAGGAAAAAGCAUGAGAAAUAAAGAGACAAAAAAAAGAAUGCUUGCGUUCUCACUCUGAGUCCAUCAGGGCUCUUUGGAGGUGGCUAGUAUC
Monodelphis domestica (gray short-tailed opossum) is the source of this 1010-nucleotide long non-coding RNA. RefSeq lists it as uncharacterized. The record is from RefSeq and is a predicted model, not a curated record. NCBI's taxonomy places the organism in Eukaryota, Metazoa, Chordata, Mammalia, Didelphimorphia, Didelphidae.